This 33-nucleotide ribosomal RNA is filed under the name Merismodes anomala. RNAcentral describes it as "partial 25S ribosomal RNA". Lineage: Eukaryota; Fungi; Basidiomycota; Agaricomycetes; Agaricales; Niaceae. The record is from RNAcentral.
UUGGACCUCAAAUCAGGGGGACUACCCGCUGAA